GCGAUGGUAGUGUAGUGGUUAGCAUCCCGACUUCCCAAAAGGGUAAUAUUCCCUCGGAAUAGUCGGUGACCCGAGUUCGAAUCUCGGCCUUCGCA
Molecule: transfer RNA, 95 nt
Filed under: Aspergillus terreus NIH2624
Lineage: Eukaryota; Fungi; Ascomycota; Eurotiomycetes; Eurotiales; Aspergillaceae
Description: tRNA ATEG_10434
Rfam family: tRNA
About the family: Transfer RNA (tRNA) molecules are approximately 80 nucleotides in length. Their secondary structure includes four short double-helical elements and three loops (D, anti-codon, and T loops).
Source: Rfam by way of RNAcentral